UUGGAACCGGUCGCGGGCUCCGCCGCUCCCGUCACGUGGUGCCGCCGUUAGCUCGCGGUGCGGUCUCGUGCGCUCUCUCGCCGUUUCCCGCCGCAAACUCGCGCUGCUGUGCAAGUGGCGAGUCGCGUGCGCACGCGAUGCGCUCGGCGCGCGAUCCGUCCCUUCUCUGACUUGUCCAAGUGUCGUGUUUUCCGCUGAAGGAGGACUAGUGAAGAAUGCAGCUUCUCACCUGCACAACUUUUUUGGGAUUUCUCCUUGGAACAGUGGACACGAUCAACAUGUUCCAUCGCUCGCUGAAUGUGGAAAGCAGGGAAAACAUCUGUCACGGAGGAGAGCAUCGAGCCGGAGGAAGCAGGCACUGUCAUGGUAACGGCGGCAUUGCCCUGCAGAUCCAGUGCUACCAGUGUGAGGAGGUGAAGCACAAUGACUGCUCCUCGCCCGAGUUCAUCGUCAACUGCACGGUCAACGUGCAGGACAUGUGCCAGAAGGAGGUGCUCGUGAAGGAGGAUGGGAUUCACUACCGCAAGUCGUGCGCCUCGUCGGGGGCCUGCCUCAUCGCUUCCUCGGGCUACCAGCAGUUCUGCACCGGGAAGCUGCAUUCAGUUUGCAUCAGCUGCUGCAACACACCGCUCUGCAAUGGGCCGCGGCAGAAGAAGCGUCCGGUCCCAUCGACGGCCCCCGCAGCCCGGCCGUGUGUCUCCUUCCGGCUCUUCGAACGCCUCCUUUUUUUACUCCUCCUUCUCUUGCUAACGUAGAGAAUACGCCUUCUGAGACUCUGUUUCAGUACUGCUUUUUCUACAUGCUCUGAUCUCCAAAAAAAGGAGCCUUAGCAUUCUGUGGUUCAUUUUUGAAGUUGGAUUUAAUUAGUAGUUUGCUUCGCGCUCUUGUGGGUUCUCCUCUUCAUCCGCAUUUCUCACGCCAACCUUAACGCGCCUAUCGUUUGAGCAGUUUAGUGCUACGUGAGCCUGUAGGGCCACACUGUAUGACAUUAAAUCACAGCAGGUACACGGGCCAACGCUGGGUCGCCUGCUCUCGAUCGCCGUAGCGUAGAGGCCCCGGAGACAUCCACCAGGCGUUCGCUUCCUGCUGUGUUUGGGUGAGAAAGCACUGUGACAGUCACAGGAUAGUAAAUGCACAGUUCGAAUGAUAAAGCAAACCACAUGCAUCAGUCAACAUUUACAUUUUUUAAUUAUAGAAAUACCUGCAAGGCACUGAUCUGCAUUUAUUUAUGAGGUCAUUUAGACAUACACAAUAAAAAUAUUGCUUAAAAAGUAAAAAAUAUUUCAUUUGCAUCUCGUUACGUUACAUCCUUUUAUAUAUCUUAAUAUGGUUCGAGUGUAAACUCUGUAUUAGUAUAUGAAAAUCAAAUUACCGAUAUUUUUAGUAUUCUCUUAAACUGCUUUCUUGUUAUGCUUCUCUUGUUCCAAGAGAACUGCCUAGAAGCAGUUCACUUUGUUGUAACCAUAAAUUUACAUUUUGAACACAGAAGGGGUUCCUUGCAGAAAUACUUUUAUUGCAGGAAGAGACAGAUUUUUCAGAUUUCCAGGUAUGAGCUCUUAAUAACACCUGUAUUUCACCAAGGACACUGGAAAAUAUACAUUUCUGUGUUUACCAAAUUUUUGCAGAAACUCCUUUGAAAGCCUUUCCGAAGUAACAUUGCCAGUAUUCACAAUUUAUUUGUCAUACUGUUAUGGUGUUAAUUUGGUGUUUUAGCUCCAUGGUAAACAACAACCUGAGGAACCAGGAGCUGGACUAUUUACAGUUACUUCAACUUUUCUGCAGCAGGCAAUUGCAGUUUAGUAACUUCAGAACAACACAUGGUGGGGGGGACUUGAUGUAUGCUAUGGAUACAUACUUGACACACUUGACCCUCUGCAGCCUGCUGGUUGAGUGUGGAGCUCAGCUCUGGAACUUCGGAAAUUAUGAGUGGAUGGAUUCAGUGAGCUGAGUCAAGGGGGGCUUUGAAACAUGGGACAGAGUGUUGGGUUCGCUGCUGGUUUCGGCAGGUUGGCCUUGGUGCAGCGAGCGGAGCAUGAGGGGCCGCGUGG
RNA transcript from Scleropages formosus (Asian bonytongue), 2048 nucleotides. It is a transcript of the gene named ly6/PLAUR domain-containing protein 1-like, with no coding region annotated. The transcript has 5 exons. The record is from RefSeq and is a predicted model, not a curated record. NCBI's taxonomy places the organism in Eukaryota, Metazoa, Chordata, Actinopteri, Osteoglossiformes, Osteoglossidae.